RNAcentral lists this non-coding RNA (854 nucleotides) under Beta vulgaris subsp. vulgaris (sugar beet). RNAcentral describes it as "Bacterial large subunit ribosomal RNA". It matches the Rfam family "Bacterial large subunit ribosomal RNA", at positions 1 to 865 of the family's 2925-position model. The record is from Rfam by way of RNAcentral. Lineage: Eukaryota; Viridiplantae; Streptophyta; Magnoliopsida; Caryophyllales; Amaranthaceae.
GAUCAAGCGCAUAAGGGCUUCUGACGGAUGCCUUGGCAUUGAGAGGCGAUGAAAGGACGUGGCACGCUGCGAUAAGGUCCGGGGAGGCGCGAGCACCCUUUGAUCCGGACAUUUCUGAAUGGGGAAACCCACCUUUACAAUCUGCGAAUGUGAUCUUCAGCUUCGGCUGGAGUUCAGGUUCGUUGGUUGUUCAAAGGUAUAAUGACCUGAAUACAUAGGGUUCAUUAAGCAAACCCGGGGAACUGAAACAUCUCAGUACCCGGAGGAAAGGACAUCAACCGAGACUCCCGUAGUAGUGGCGAGCGAACCGGGACCAGGCCAGUGCUGUCGUGACAUAAAGCGAACGAUUGGAAAGGUCGGCCAUAGCGGGUGAUAGCCCCGUAGCGUCAAAUAGCGACAGACUCGAGUAGGGCGGGACACGUGAAAUCCUGUCUGAACAUGGGGGGACCACCCUCCAAGCCUAAGUACUCCUCAGGACCGAUAGUGAACAAGUACCGUGAGGGAAAGGUGAAAAGCACCCCGACAAGGGGAGUGAAACAGAUCCUGAAAUCGGAAGCCUACAAGCAGUCGGAGCCACCAAGCGGGGUGACGGCGUACCUUUUGUAUAAUGGGUCAGCGACUUCAUGUGCCGUGCAAGCUUAAGCCGUUAGGUGUAGGCGCAGCGAAAGCGAGUCUGAAUAGGGCGAAUAAGUACGUCGCAUGACGACCCGAAACCAGGUGAUCUAUCCAUGAGCAGGUUGAAGGUGGUAACACACUGGAGGACCGAACCCGUGAAUGUUGAAAAAUUCUGGGAUGACUUGUGGAUAGGGGUGAAAGGCCAAUCAAACCUGGACAUAGCUGGUUCUCCGCGAAAA